GUAUUUCGAAUUAUGUAUUCAAAAAAUUUCAGACAAAAAAUUUCAAUAAAGGGUUGGUAUUAUACUGCCAAGAACGCGCAAAAACGCGAACUCGUCAGCAAACAUUGCACACAAGGUGAAUACUGAUUUUUAAAAAGUGCCAUAAAACACUUUAUUAUGAAUGAUCCUUCCGCAGGUUCACCUACGGAAA
This 190-nucleotide unclassified non-coding RNA is filed under the name uncultured fungus. Its description in RNAcentral is "sequence contains ITS1". Lineage: Eukaryota; Fungi. The record is from RNAcentral.